CUCGGAGUUUGAUCCUGGCUCAGAUUGAACGCUGGCGGCAUGCUUUACACAUGCAAGUCGAACGGUAACAGGUCAAGCUGACGAGUUGGCGAACGGGUGAGUAAUACAGUCGGAACGUGCCCGAUCGUGGGGGAUAACGCAGCGAAAGCUGCGCUAAUACCGCAUACGAUCUGAGGAUGAAAGCGGGGGACCGUAAGGCCUCGCGCGAUCGGAGCGGCCGAUGUCAGAUUAGGUAGUUGGUGGGUAAAGGCUCACCAAGCCAACGAUCUGUAGCUGGUCUGAGAGGACGACCAGCCACACUGGAACUGAGACACGGUCCAGACUCCUACGGGAGCAGCAGUGGGGAAUUUUGGACAAUGGACGCAAGUCUGAUCCCAGCCCAUG
RNAcentral lists this ribosomal RNA (384 nucleotides) under uncultured Comamonadaceae bacterium. RNAcentral's name for it is "bacterial SSU rRNA". It matches the Rfam family "Bacterial small subunit ribosomal RNA", at positions 1 to 396 of the family's 1533-position model. The record is from RNAcentral. Lineage: Bacteria; Pseudomonadati; Pseudomonadota; Betaproteobacteria; Burkholderiales; Comamonadaceae.